GACGAACGCUGGCGGCGUGGAUUAGGCAUGCAAGUCGAACGGUAUCAUCCUUUCGGGGGUGAGAGAGUGGCGAACUGGUGAGUAACACGUAGGUUAUCUACCCUCAAGACGGGGACAACCCAGGGAAACUUGGGCUAAUACCGGAUGUGAGCAACUUUUAGUUGUUUGAAAGGUGGCGUAAGCUGUCGCUUGGGGAUGAGCCUGCGUCCUAUUAGUUAGUUGGUGAGGUAACGGCUCACCUAGGCAAUGAUAGGUAGGCGGCCUUAACGGGUGGUCGCCCACACUGGGAUUGAGAUACGGCCCAGACUCCUACGGGAGGCAGCAGUCGAGAAUAGUCUACAAUGGUCGGAAGACUGAUAGUGCGACGCCGCGUGAACGAUGAAUCCCUUCAGGGUGUAAAGUUCUUUUAUAUGUGAGCAGUGCUUCUUAUAUUAACAGUAUGGGGAGAGAGAUAUUAGCAUAUGAAUAAGCAACGGCUAACUCCGUG
Molecule: ribosomal RNA, 487 nt
Filed under: uncultured bacterium
Lineage: Bacteria
Description: bacterial SSU rRNA
Rfam family: Bacterial small subunit ribosomal RNA
Source: RNAcentral